Eubalaena glacialis (North Atlantic right whale) is the source of this 104-nucleotide small nuclear RNA. The record is from RefSeq and is a predicted model, not a curated record. Lineage: Eukaryota; Metazoa; Chordata; Mammalia; Artiodactyla; Balaenidae.
GUGCUUGCUUCGACAGCACAUAUACUAAAAUUGGAACCAUACAGAGAAGAUUAGCAUGGCCCUUGUGCAAGGACAUGCAAAUUCGUGAAGCGUUCCAUAUUUUU